AAGCGAAUAAGGGGAAAGGGGAAGUCUGGGAGGGAGGCCUUGGAGGAGGCUGAUGGGAGAGGAGACAGAGAGGGCACCAGCUUGAUCUGUAACCACCAGUCCACUGGCCUCCCCACCAGCAUCUGCUGAGCUAUGAGCCACACCAGAGAUUUACAGGGAGGAAAAGCCUUCGGGUUGCUGAAGGCCCAGCAGGAAGACAGACUUGAGGAAAUCAACAAGCAAUUCCUGGAUGAUCCCAAAUAUAGCAGUGAUGAGGAUCUGCUCUCCAAACUGGAAGCCUUCAAAAAGAAAUACAUGGAGUUUGACCUGAAUGGAAACGGAGAUAUCGAUAUCAUGUCCCUGAAGCGAAUGCUGGAAAAACUUGGGGUCCCCAAAACCCACCUGGAGCUGAAGAAACUAAUCAGGGAGGUUUCCAGCGGCUCUGGGGAGACUUUCAGCUACUCUGACUUUCUCAGGAUGAUGUUGGGAAAGAGAUCUGCAAUCCUAAAAAUGAUCCUGAUGUACGAGGAGAAAGCAAGAGAACAGGAGAAGCCAGCAGGUCCCCCAGCCAAGAGAGAUAUCUCUGAAUUGCCCUGAUUUAUGGUAGGGGAGAUGUGGUGGGAUUGACACCAGCAUGGAAAAAGAACAUAGAAUUAAUGUAUUGUGGAUGUCUCCGGCGCCUUCAAAACAGUUGUCGAAGGAUUUGCUGAACGGGAAGUAGGUCCGACUGGAGCACAGUAAUAGAAGACAAAGAGGGAAAUUAGUACCGCAUUUCGUGAAUGAAACCCAUUGUGAAGAGAAUACAAACUGCCAAUAAUCAGAUAUUGCAAAUACAUUCAUGAAACUUGUUAUAAAAUUUAAUGUCUUAGUCAUUGGUUGCUGAUAUGUUAAAUGAAGAGGUCAUUCCCACCCUAUCUUUGUUCAAAUGAUUUGCAUGUAUUAUGCAAAUAAACAGAACUAUUCAAAGAA
Molecule: RNA transcript, 948 nt
Organism: Suricata suricatta (meerkat)
Lineage: Eukaryota; Metazoa; Chordata; Mammalia; Carnivora; Herpestidae
Gene: AIF1
Gene name: allograft inflammatory factor 1
Exons: 7
Source: RefSeq, a predicted model, not a curated record